Molecule: ribosomal RNA, 497 nt
Filed under: uncultured bacterium
Lineage: Bacteria
Description: partial 16S ribosomal RNA
Rfam family: Bacterial small subunit ribosomal RNA
Source: RNAcentral
GAUGAACGCUGGCGGCGUGCCUAAUACAUGCCAGUCGAGCGAACAGACGAGGAGCUUGCUCCUCUGACGUUAGCGGCGGACGGGUGAGUAACACGUGGAUAACCUACCUAUAAGACUGGGAUAACUUCGGGAAACCGGAGCUAAUACCGGAUAAUAUAUUGAACCGCAUGGUUCAAUAGUGAAAGACGGUUUUGCUGUCACUUAUAGAUGGAUCCGCGCCGCAUUAGCUAGUUGGUAAGGUAACGGCUUACCAAGGCAACGAUACGUAGCCGACCUGAGAGGGUGAUCGGCCACACUGGAACUGAGACACGGUCCAGACUCCUACGGGAGGCAGCAGUAGGGAAUCUUCCGCAAUGGGCGAAAGCCUGACGGAGCAACGCCGCGUGAGUGAUGAAGGUCUUCGGAUCGUAAAACUCUGUUAUUAGGGAAGAACAAAUGUGUAAGUAACUAUGCACGUCUUGACGGUACCUAAUCAGAAAGCCACGGCUAACUACGUG